UACGGAGGGUGCAAGCGUUAUCCGGAUUUCCUGGGUUUAAAGGGUGCGUAGGUGGGUCUGUAAGUCAGUGGUGAAAUCUCCGGGCUUAACCCGGAAACUGCCAUUGAUACUAUAGGUCUUGAAUAUCCUGGAGGUGAGCGGAAUAUGUCAUGUAGCGGUGAAAUGCUUAGAUAUGACAUAGAACCCCAAUUGCGAAGGCAGCUCACUACGGGAUUAUUGACACUGAGGCACGAAAGCGUGGGGAUCAAACAGG
RNAcentral lists this ribosomal RNA (253 nucleotides) under uncultured bacterium. RNAcentral describes it as "partial 16S ribosomal RNA". It matches the Rfam family "Bacterial small subunit ribosomal RNA", at positions 524 to 776 of the family's 1533-position model. The record is from RNAcentral.